CAAUCUCAGCUUGUCUUUCUCAGAGAACUCGCAUAGACAAACAGCACAAUCAAAUGGCUCCUUCAGACCUACAAUCUCUCUGUACUGAAAAACAGGAAGAGCAUCAAUAAAUGCUUGAUCCAGACCAGAAUCAUGGAGAUGGAAAAGCUGCUGUAGUUGUCUUUGAAGAGCAUCUGGUCCAGAGAUUUCAGGGUAUCUAUUAGAUUGAGAGGAACCCGAAGAAGAUGGAUGCUUUAUAAGGAAUCUAACAAGCAAGUGGAGCAAACCAGAGAUGAAAAAUAGUACUGCAAGAAUCACUAUAAUGAAAAGAACCGCAGGGCUAAUUCUUGUACCAGAAGACGGCGGUGAUGAAGAUGAAGGGGUUGAUUCUUUAUGGAAAGUAGUAGUAUAUGGAGACAUUGAAGAAGGAGAAAGAGGAGGCGGAUAUGUCAAAUAACCAUCUUUUUGCUUUAUUUGAUACUGAAUCCAUGACAUCUUCAAAUGGGUAUGCUCCAUGAGCCAUCUAUUCUCUCUGCUCUCUGACAUCCCACAGAUCAUAUGGCAACACCCAGAAACCGUAAAUUCUCUUUUAGCUCAAAAAUCAAACACAAAUCCAACUCAUUUUCAUAUCAAUAAUGCACAAAACAAACACACCUUUUUCCUUCCACAUGUAAAAACCCAAUAAAACCCACAAUUCCUUCUCCUUUCCCUUCACUCAAAUGUGAAUGCUAACAUUUGUUGUAUGAGAUAGCAGUAGCAAGUAGUGGUCUUUUAAAUUUUUAAAAUUCUUAAUUCCUUGUUCAUAUCAUGCAUCAAAUGAAACCGAACCCAAGUGACUGAUUGAGCAAUAAAAGAGCAAGAGAAGCUGCCAUACACAAAAACAACAGAAGUUGAAUACUUACCUAACCUGAUUCUUGAGAGAGAGAGAGAGAGGGCCGAAAAAUGGCGCUUUACAUCGAUGAAGAGGAGGUUUGGAAAUGUCCGAAACACCCUUCGAAGCGCCGCCGUACAGGAAUCUGCCACGUGUGCCUCCGGGAGAGACUCUCUUCCCUCUGCCCGGACUGCACCAACGUACGGCCGUGUGCUUGCUACGCGGUGACAACGUCCUCCUCGACUUCGUCUUCUUUCUCUCGAUUCUCCACCGCUUCCGCUGCCGAAUCAAUCGCCUCAGGAAUCGGAACUGUCGGCCGCGUGUCCAAUCUGAUCGAGAGCGAG
This 1194-nucleotide unclassified non-coding RNA is filed under the name Hevea brasiliensis (rubber tree). Lineage: Eukaryota; Viridiplantae; Streptophyta; Magnoliopsida; Malpighiales; Euphorbiaceae. The record is from RNAcentral.